CUCAGGACGAACGCUGGCGGCGUGCCUAAUACAUGCAAGUCGAGCGGACCGGGCGGAAGCUUGCUUCCGCUUGGUUAGCGGCGGACGGGUGAGUAACACGUGGGUAACCUGCCCGUAAGACCGGGAUAACUCCGGGAAACCGGAGCUAAUACCGGAUAACACCGAAGACCGCAUGGUCUUUGGUUGAAAGGCGGCUUCGGCUGCCACUUACGGAUGGGCCCGCGGCGCAUUAGCUAGUUGGUGAGGUAACGGCUCACCAAGGCGACGAUGCGUAGCCGGCCUGAGAGGGUGCCCGGCCACACUGGGACUGAGACACGGCCCAGACUCCUACGGGAGGCAGCAGUAGGGAAUCUUCCGCAAUGGACGAAAGUCUGACGGAGCGACGCCGCGUGAGCUAA
RNAcentral lists this ribosomal RNA (398 nucleotides) under uncultured bacterium. RNAcentral describes it as "bacterial SSU rRNA". It matches the Rfam family "Bacterial small subunit ribosomal RNA", at positions 23 to 409 of the family's 1533-position model. The record is from RNAcentral.